Mus musculus (house mouse) is the source of this 3766-nucleotide long non-coding RNA. RefSeq annotates it as predicted gene, 52679. NCBI's taxonomy places the organism in Eukaryota, Metazoa, Chordata, Mammalia, Rodentia, Muridae. The record is from RefSeq and is a predicted model, not a curated record. The transcript is spliced from 2 exons.
GGUGGUUGGGGGAGGGGACAUGCUGCCAGGCCAGUUUCCAUCCCCUAGGUUUCAGAGCCAACAUAGCAGCAUUCUUCUACACAGGACCCUCCCCCACCCCAGACAACCUGGAGAGUCCAGGGAACACCUUUGUUAAUAGCCACAGAGCGGAGGCAACUGACUACCUAUCCUGCAUCCUUGCCCUUCUGCCCUUCUCCCUUAGGGAAGACAUCCCCGUCAGAAUACAUGAGAUGGGGGGUAGACACAGCCUCUCUGAAGGGAGGCGGUAGAAGAAUUUACACAGCCCCAAAUAAGUGCUUCUCUUGUCUCAACAAUUACACUCUGGAAAGUCUAGGCACUGACUGACAGGUGUGUAACAUCUGACCUGCAAAGAUGGGGUGUCAGGAUGCUGUGCUUAAGGGGGGAGGCUGGGGAGACCAGGGGUCGACAUGAUGUGACAAGGGUACCCGGCAGUCCCCACUGCUGGCAAGUUUGGCAGCCUAUGGGCUGGAGGGCCUUUUAAACCAGGGCAAUACAAAGGCCAGGCUCUCAAGACUAGCUUUGUCCUUCCUCAGGGGCAGGGGGUUGGGAGUUGGGGGUGGGGUGGAGAAGUUGAGUUUUCUGUGGUUCCUGUCAGUCAAGUGAUGAUGUGCAGAGAGUGGGUACACACAGGUGUUCCCUCGCUCAUUGCUUCCUAUCCAGGUAGAUGGAGUAAUCAUUCAGAAAUCACUUCUGAUUGCAAACCCUACCUGGUAUUGCAGCUUUAGACCACAAAGAAAUAACUGCAACCUGGCUUGCUCCAAUGAGCCUGGAAGUCCCUCCUGGAACCGUGGCAGAGUCUGAGGACAGCCGCCACUCGGACAGUCUAAUCUGAGUGUUUUCAGAAAGAGCUUUUAUAUGGAUCCCUUUUGUGAUCUUUGCUUGAUAAGGGGGCAUAAAAGGCACCCCUCUCUACCUCUUCUUAUAGGUGAAGAGGCUGGGGCUUGAAGGGAGGAAGGAGGCCGCCCAGCACCUCUAGGGUGCUACGUUAGCGUGGAAGUCGAGAUUGCUCCAGCUGCGGUUCCUGGUCGUUUGCUUUAGGAAUUCCAGUCCUCAGUAGAAAGGAGGCCAGCAGCUCUAAGAAGCCCACGAGGAUGACAAGCAGGGACAACUUUCUGUCACCAUUUCAUGGAGGAACCCACCAGUCGUUAGAAAGGACACCUGUUCCAGGCUGCGAGGACUGGUACCAGCAGCCUUGGAUACAAUACAGUCCCUGAGCUGUUUUCUGCAUCAGUAAGAUGGGUGAGACAGGCUGCCCUGCUCCAGGGCUCUCUGCCCACUGCGCUAGGCUGCUUCCAGACUGUUCUAGGGAAGUUACUCUCCACUCCUCCACUCCUCUAGGGAGCCGAGGGCUUGCCCAGGGUCCCACUGCUAGAAUAAAAUAUACACUACCAUUUAUCAUUUACCACUGAGGAGCCAGGGAUAACCUUAGCUACACAGCCAAGCACAUAAGAAGAGGCUCUGGCAGGGAACUACACAUCCUCUUCCUGGUCUUUCUCUGCCCUUCUGCAGCUAGGUGUCUGUCAAUGACUUUUGCCCUGGUAUCCACCUACUGUGUGCCAGAUACAGGGGGCAGGACGGGGCCAUUGCCUGGUAUUCACAGGCAAUCUGGCAUGUGGGUAGACCUGCCCUAAGGGAGGAUGUUAUUCAGGAGAGAGGCAAGGACGGGUACUCACUCCGGACAGACAGAGGAGGAGGAAGGUGCAGUGAUGUGGAAGAUGAGCAAGAUGAGCACCUUCCCAGUACUACGGUGGCAUGGGACACUGAGGUCAGCCUUAGGGCCUUGAAUGCCAAGAUGAGACAGGGGAUGGAAUGAAGGCAACAAAGAGCAUGCAGGACCAAGGGAGCAACGGCAAGGGUGGGGGGGACACCAAGUGUGUGUGUGGGGGGGGGCAGUGGGAAUAUACUGGGGUAGAAGUAGGAGCCAAGCCUGCCAGGGCUGAGUGUCCACACUGGAUGGGCAGAGGAAACACAGUAGCAGUCAGCUGGGGCCUUCAGCAAUGGGCAGAGAAUGGGGGUAGGGAGCCACACACCUUGACCCUGACCCUUGCGGUCCACCUACAGCUGCCGUUUGUCUUUCUUGCUCUAAAAGGUAGAGAAAGUUUAACCGUGGAUGACUAACAUCUCCUGGAGUUGUUUCACAAACUGGGCCAGACCAGGGACCAGCUACGGGGCUAGUCAGAUGUGCCAGCCUCCGGGAGCAGCGAACAGGGACUCAGGAAAGAGCUGCUACCUAUGAGGCCUUCUACACACCACCAGGCCAUUCCCUUCAGAGCCACCUGGGCCCAUGAAGGGUCCCUAUGCGUCCCCUCAUGAUCUCUCCAUCUCUCUCACGAUUUCCCACCCAGCCUCUCACACUGGGCUCCUCAGCAUUGGGCACGACCCUCAUUCCGUAGCAGCUCAGCAACAGUGGCCCAUCUACCCAGGAGCUAUAAGUACCAACCAACCUGACCCUCCACCUUGAGUCUAGGCCCAGCUCCCUGGUGCCCCUGCCCUUUCCCAGACUGUAUCUUAGAAGCUUCUCUGUAUCAGUCUGCCUGCCUUGGUCUUGGCUUUCUCCCGGGACAAGCCCCUCCCCCAGUGACUCACCUCUGAGCAAGUCACAGACACACAGUGACCUUCCCACCUCAGACCAGUCCCAGCUGAGAUGGGUUGAGAGGCUAUUUUCAGACACUCUCCAGUCCACUCUAGCCUCUCCAGCAGUCUGGCCUUGAGCACUUCCCUCCCACCAGGAAACAGCAGGCUCUUGUUCUAAUCCUGAUUCCACCUCACUGAAUGUGUGACCUUGGGCAAGUCUUUUGCUCAACUUCCAAGUAAGGGAAUAAGCUGCGGAGAUGCUGGCCUAGCCUGGAAAGGUGAACCAAGGAGGCCUGCCUGGUGUCUCAGAGAGUGAGUGGGACUCAACCAGAAGGCUGGGGCAGGCAUUCGGGUAGCGGGAACCGUGUCUGCAAAGGGCUGUGGGCAAGCAAUGCACAGGUGUGGUGCCUGGGAGGUGCAGCCUCUCAGAGAGCCUGGCAAAGAGAUGAUCCUGGGCAGUCCGCCAGGGCCUGGCUGACCCCUAGUUCUUAGGCCCAGAGUCCAGGUCUGCAGCAGUAGGUAAAGGGGAGAAACGUGUGCCGGGUAAGACCUGUCAGUUGCAGCAGAUUCUAGAGAGGCCAGAGUGGGUGGCAGGGGAAUUCCCAACUAGAGGUCUGAGUCUAGGACUGAGCCUGGGCCCCGAGGGGCCUGGAGGCUCUGGAGAGCCAUGUGGCCAGGGAAGUAUACAGCUGCCCUCACAGUGUGGCCCAGAUCUCUGGACAUCGACAGAGACAAAUACAGUUAACACAACAUGCAGACAGCACCAAACCCAGACGGGACAGACAGACCUGUGGCCACAAGCAUGAACCCAUGGGAACGGGAAGCCAAAGCCACCAACACUAACAAGGCAAGCAUACCUCCCCCAUAGACCCCUUCAGAGGACAGCAGUGAGGGGCACGCGGGACUCUUAUGGACACAGUGUCUUGAUCCCCAAAGAACAACCCCCUCAUUAACAGACCCGCAGCCUGGAGUCACAGGCUCCUUACCUAGAGGGUCCUUUCCCACUUGGUGAGCUUCUACUCAUCCUUCAAGACCCAGCUCAAGGGUUCCCUCUUCUACGGAGCUUGCCCUGAACCCCCAGUCAGUCACUUCCUCUGUGUUCCCAACGGCACCUUGUAUAUGGGAAUAACAAUAACAAUAACAAUAAAAUGGCAGCUACUGUUGAUUUAAA